CCUACGGGAGGCUGCAGUCGAGAAUCAUUCACAAUGGGGGAAACCCUGAUGGUGCGACGCCGCGUGGGGGAAUGAAGGUCUUCGGAUUGUAAACUCCUGUCAGGUGGGAGCAAAUUAAAAAGAUAGCACUACAAGAGGAAGAGACGGCUAACUCCGUGCCAGCAGCCGCGGUAAUACAGAGGUGUCAAGCGUUGUUCGGAAUCACUGGGCGUAAAGCGUGCGUAGGCUGUUUCGUAAGUCGUGUGUGAAAGGCGCGGGCUCAACCCGCGGACGGCACAUGAUACUGCGAGACUAGAGUGAUGGAGGGGGAACCGGAAUUCUCGGUGUAGCAGUGAAAUGCGUAGAUAUCGGGAGGAACACUCGUGGCGAAGGCGGGUUCCUGGACGUUAACUGACGCUGAGGCACGAAGGCCAGGGGAGCGAAAAGGAUUAGAUACCCCUGUAGUC
This 446-nucleotide ribosomal RNA is filed under the name uncultured bacterium. RNAcentral describes it as "partial 16S ribosomal RNA". It matches the Rfam family "Bacterial small subunit ribosomal RNA", at positions 338 to 795 of the family's 1533-position model. The record is from RNAcentral.